UGCAAUUUUGAUUAAAAGGAUAUUUUGGUUGUUUCACGCCUCUUUUCUUCAUCUCCAGGGAGUCCAUCCCUUUCUCUCCCAUUUUCGGCGUUCUUUCUCCCUGUAAACCCUAUCUUUAAUAUCAUCAAGCCUCAU
Long non-coding RNA from Ipomoea nil (Japanese morning glory), 135 nucleotides. RefSeq lists it as uncharacterized. Lineage: Eukaryota; Viridiplantae; Streptophyta; Magnoliopsida; Solanales; Convolvulaceae. The transcript has 3 exons. The record is from RefSeq and is a predicted model, not a curated record.